AUAUUCAGCAUCAAUAUCCGGCAACACGGUAUAUGUUCGUGAAUGUAUUGUGGCGGAAAACACAGUGGAGAUGUCAUGCAAGGAAGAGGAUCAAAAUGGCGAGAAGUUUCGGUUUUGUAACUGUGCUGGGGAUCUGUGUAAUGAGAACUGGACCACUGCUGGAGGCUCAGUAAUCAUCAAUACUCUGGGUCUUCUCUCCACUCUGACACUCUUCAUACUCUCAGAAUACAUCUUGUAAACUGCUGGAGGAUCAGUAAUCAUCAAUACUCUGGGUCUUUUCUCCACUCUGACACUUUUCAUACUCUCAGAAUACAUCUGUAACCUGCUGGAGGAUCAGUAAUCAUCAAUACUCUGUAUCUUCUUUCUACUCUCACACUCUUAAUACUCUAAGAAUGCAUCUUGUAAACUGCUGGGGGAUCAGUAAUCAUUUAUACUCUGGGUCUUGUCUCUACUCUGACACUCUUCAUACUCUCAGAAUACAUCUUGUAAACUGCUGGAGGAUCAGUAAUCAUCAAUACUCUGGGUCUUCUUUCCACUCUGACACUCUUCAUACUCUCAGAAUACAUCUUGUAAACUGCUGGGGGAUCAGUAUUCAGUAAUCAUCAUUACUCUGGUCUUCUCUUCAUACUCUAAGAAAACAUGUUGUGAAGAUAUUCUUUAAUGCUUGUUGUUUUAUUAACAAUAGUUUAGAUGCAAAUAAACAUAUCUAAAUUGG
Molecule: long non-coding RNA, 715 nt
Organism: Eurytemora carolleeae
Lineage: Eukaryota; Metazoa; Arthropoda; Copepoda; Calanoida; Temoridae
Exons: 2
Source: RefSeq, a predicted model, not a curated record